AUCGCUUCUUGGCCUUUUGGCUAGGAUCAAGUGUAGUAUCUGUUCUUAUCAGUUUAAUAUCUGAUAUGUCCUCUAUCCGAGGACAAUAUAUUAAAUGGAUUUUUGGAAGUAGGAGUUGGAAUAGGAGCUUGCUCCGUCAACUCCAUUUAAAAAAAAAAACCUGUC
This is a small nuclear RNA of Mesocricetus auratus (golden hamster), 165 nucleotides long. Its record names the gene U2. It matches the Rfam family "U2 spliceosomal RNA". Rfam says of the family: U2 is a small nuclear RNA (snRNA) component of the spliceosome (involved in pre-mRNA splicing). The record is from Ensembl. Lineage: Eukaryota; Metazoa; Chordata; Mammalia; Rodentia; Cricetidae.